This 562-nucleotide ribosomal RNA is filed under the name uncultured bacterium. RNAcentral's name for it is "bacterial SSU rRNA". It matches the Rfam family "Bacterial small subunit ribosomal RNA", at positions 58 to 595 of the family's 1533-position model. The record is from RNAcentral.
CAAGUCGGACGAGAAAUUCCGAUUCGUCGGGAGAGUAAAGUGGCGAACGGGUGAGUAACACGAGGGUAAUCUACCCUUAAAUUAGGGAUAACCUUGCGAAAGCGAAGCUAAUACCUGAUAAGACUACGAUCUUCUAGGAGAUAGUAGGAAAAGAUGGCCUCUGUUUCAUGCUAUUGUUUAAGGAUGAGCCCUUGUACUAUUAGCUUGUUGGUGAGGUAAUGGCUCACCAAGGCGACGAUGGUUAGCUGGUCUGAGAGGAUGAUCAGCCACACUGGAACUGAGACACGGUCCAGACUCCUACGGGAGGCAGCAGUGAGGAAUAUUGCGCAAUGGGGGAAACCCUGACGCAGUGACGCCGCGUGAGUGAUGAAGGCUUUCGAGUCGUAAAGCUCUGUUAGGUGGAAAGAAAUAUUUCAGUGCCAAUACCACUGGAAUUUGACGGUACCACCAGAGGAAGCACCGGCUAACUCCGUGCCAGCAGCCGCGGUAAUACGGAGGGUGCAAGCGUUGUUCGGAUUUACUGGGCGUAAAGAGCGUGUAGGCGGUUAGGCAAGUCAGAUGU